GGACGACGCUGGCGGCGUGCUUAACACAUGCAAGUCGAACGGUAAGGCCCUUCGGGGUACACGAGUGGCGAACGGGUGAGUAACACGUGGGUGAUCUGCCCUGCACUUUGGGAUAAGCCUGGGAAACUGGGUCUAAUACCGAAUAUGACCAUGGACUUCACGGUUUGUGGUGGAAAGCUUUUGCGGUGUGUGAUGGGCCCGCGGCCUAUCAGCUUGUUGGUGGGGUAAUGGCCUACCAAGGCGACGACGGGUAGCCGGCCUGAGAGGGUGACCGGCCACACUGGGACUGAGAUACGGCCCAGACUCCUACGGGAGGCAGCAGUGGGAAUAUUGCACAAUGGGCGCAAGCCUGAUGCAGCGACGCCGCGUGGGGAUGGCGGCCUUCGGGUUGUAAACCUCUUUCACCAGGGACGAAGCGAGAGUGACGGUACCUGGAGAAGAAGGACCGGCCAACUACGUG
RNAcentral lists this ribosomal RNA (460 nucleotides) under uncultured bacterium. RNAcentral describes it as "bacterial SSU rRNA". It matches the Rfam family "Bacterial small subunit ribosomal RNA", at positions 33 to 507 of the family's 1533-position model. The record is from RNAcentral.